RNAcentral lists this long non-coding RNA (798 nucleotides) under Mytilus galloprovincialis (Mediterranean mussel). The record is from RNAcentral. Lineage: Eukaryota; Metazoa; Mollusca; Bivalvia; Mytilida; Mytilidae.
GUCAAAGCGACAACCACCCGACCAUAGAGCAAACAACAGCCGAAGGCAACCAAUGGGUCUUCAAUGUAGCGAGAAUUCCCGCACCCGUAGGUGUCCUUCAGCUGGCCCCUAAAAUAUGCAUAAUAGUACAGUGAUAAUGGACGUCAUACUAAACUCCGAAUUAUACACAAGAAACUAAAAUUUUAAAAUCAUACAAGACUAACAAAGGCCAGAGGCUCCUGACUUGGGACAGGCGCAAAAUUGCGGCGGGGUUAAACAUGUUUAUGAGAUCUCAACCCUCCCCCUAUACCUCUAGCCAAUGUAGAAAAGUAAAAGAAUAACAAUACGCACAUUAAAAUUCAGUUCAAGAGAAGUCCGAGUCUGAUGUCAAAAGAUGUAACAAAAGAAAAUAAAUAAAAUGACAAUAAUACAUAAAUAAUAACAGACUACUAGCAGUUAACUGACAUGCCAGCUCCAGACCUCAAUUAAACUGAUUGAAAGAUUAUGUCUUCAUCAUAUGAAUAUCAGGUACAAUCCCUCCCGUUAGGGGUUUAGUAUCAUACUAUCAUAAAAUAUAUGAGAAGAACAUAACCCGUGUCAUGCCAACAACUGUUUUUUUUAAGAAAUAAAUGUGUUUAGUUCCGAUGCAAAGACCCUAUCAGUGAAUCAAUGUUAAAUCCAAAAUAUGCAAUCUUUAAUGACCUGACAACAGUAUCGUAACUAUAUCCCCUUUUAAUAAGUCUAUUUAAAGGUUUUGUUAGUUUCUGAGGAGAAUACUGACAUUUUUGUGCUUUAUAAAGAAUAUUUCCAUAAAAUUUU